AUUUUAAUACAAACACUUGACUGUGCUCAAUCAGCAAUCUGCAUGUAUGAAACCUGGCCAGCCCAAACAGUGUAUUAAUCAUUAGCAAAUGGAAUUUUAAGGAGUCCACUAAGUGCUUUCUUAUCAUUAAGGGAAUACAAUUAUUUAUAUUGUAAAACUGAUUGUAGCUUGAUCUUUAGGGGACAGGACCACCAACCAAUACAUGCAGAUUUUGUGUGUGGACAGAAGGUACUUUUGAACAUUUAGUUUUGCUAUAUAGAAACAGAAUGAAUAAAUGAAAUUUAUUUUUUUUUUCCAAGAGGUAAGUAAAAGAUUCAAUUUGAUUCUUCUAGAGGGGGGGAAAAAGUAGCUGAAAGUAGGUCUUCAUUUUGCAGUCAUCAUCUGUAUGAAUUCUUCAUAGUUGACUUGUCCAUCUCCAUCAAUACCUGCUUCUCUGAUCAUUUCAUCUACUUCCUCAUGUUAGUUUUUCUCCUGAGUUUGUCAUGAAGUGAGGUAGUUCUGCUGCACUGAUGUAACCAUUUCCAUCCUUGUCAAAGACUCGGAAUGCCUCAUGGAUUUCUUCUUUGCUAUCUGUACCUUUCUUUUUUCUAGCCAUCAUAGUUAAAAAUUCUGGGAGGUCAAG
Molecule: long non-coding RNA, 622 nt
Filed under: Chinchilla lanigera (long-tailed chinchilla)
Lineage: Eukaryota; Metazoa; Chordata; Mammalia; Rodentia; Chinchillidae
Description: lncRNA (ENSCLAG00000023744.1)
Source: RNAcentral